This 490-nucleotide ribosomal RNA is filed under the name uncultured bacterium. RNAcentral's name for it is "partial 16S ribosomal RNA". It matches the Rfam family "Bacterial small subunit ribosomal RNA", at positions 29 to 506 of the family's 1533-position model. The record is from RNAcentral.
GUGAACGCUGGCGGUAGGCCUAACACAUGCCAGUCGAACGGCAGCACAGUAAGAGCUUGCUCUUACGGGUGGCGAGUGGCGGACGGGUGAGGAAUACAUCGGAAUCUACUUUUUCGUGGGGGAUAACGUAGGGAAACUUACGCUAAUACCGCAUACGACCUACGGGUGAAAGCAGGGGAUCUUCGGACCUUGCGCGAUUGAAUGAGCCGAUGUCGGAUUAGCUAGUUGGCGGGGUAAAGGCCCACCAAGGCGACGAUCCGUAGCUGGUCUGAGAGGAUGAUCAGCCACACUGGAACUGAGACACGGUCCAGACUCCUACGGGAGGCAGCAGUGGGGAAUAUUGGACAAUGGGCGCAAGCCUGAUCCAGCCAUACCGCGUGGGUGAAGAAGGCCUUCGGGUUGUAAAGCCCUUUUGUUGGGAAAGAAAAGCAGCAGGUUAAUACCCCGCUGUUCUGACGGUACCCAAAGAAUAAGCACCGGCUAACUUCGU